This 256-nucleotide ribosomal RNA is filed under the name uncultured bacterium. Its description in RNAcentral is "partial 16S ribosomal RNA". It matches the Rfam family "Bacterial small subunit ribosomal RNA", at positions 521 to 776 of the family's 1533-position model. The record is from RNAcentral.
UAAUACAGAGGGUGCGAGCGUUAAUCGGAGUUACUGGGCGUAAAGGGCGCGUAGGCGGUUAUGUGAGUGUGAUGUGAAAGCCCCGGGCUUAACCUGGGAAGUGCAUCGCAAACGACAUGACUAGAGUAGGUGAGAGGGUGGCGGAAUUUCCGGUGUAGCGGUGAAAUGCGUAGAGAUCGGAAGGAACGUCAAUGGCGAAGGCAGCCACCUGGUACCAUACUGACGCUGAGGCGCGAAAGCGUGGGGAUCGAACAGG